GGCCUCACGCGGGGCUACAAGCUGGAGCCUCACGACGACGAGGCGGUGGAAUACUACCUGCUCCGUCAACUCCUUGGCCAGGAGCUCCCGCUGGAGGGCAUCAUCCUCGAGGACGAUCCGCUGAGCGCGCCGCCAUGGGAGCUCUUGAACAAACACGAGCUGGAGGACAAUGCUUUCUUCUUUGCCCACGGGCAAACCAUUGACAGCAAGGGGAGUCGGAACAAGCGGACCUGCGCGGGCGGCGGGUGCUGGGAAGGGCAGAAGGUCGUCGUGGAUGACAAGGAGCUCAUCGUCCCCGACAGCGGCAUGGAGAUCACCUGGAAGAAGUACCAGUUCAACUUCCACAACGACGGCGAGAAGGGCAGCACGGGGUGGGUCAUGCACGAGUACUCCGUCACUGCCCCGCCCGAUCUGGCCUCGUCGUCGGUCAGACUGUAUCGCAUUUCGUUUAGUGGCCACGGCAAGAAGCGCAAGAGGGAGCCCGAUGAUCACGGCGACGACGAGGGUAGAGCGCGCGCGGCCACCGGGCAAGCGAUUCCCGAGGAGCAGAUGCCGGCGUCGCACUCGCACUCAUCUCUUUUCCCUCAAGAUCAGGAUCUCUACGACGGUGCGGCCAUUGACGGGAUUCAAUGGCCACCGGUGACGUCCUCAGAACAUCUGCUGGGCUCUUCCCAAGACUUGGGCCGCUCGUGGUUCUUGCCCGGCGGAGACCUCGGAGUAGGGUCGGCGGCGGCGACAUCAGAUUCAGAUCAAGGCGCCUCAGCGCGCGUGAUGCAUCACUGGUAG
Molecule: ribosomal RNA, 786 nt
Filed under: Triticum aestivum (bread wheat)
Lineage: Eukaryota; Viridiplantae; Streptophyta; Magnoliopsida; Poales; Poaceae
Description: partial small subunit ribosomal RNA
Source: RNAcentral